CCUACGGGCGGCUGCAGUGGGGAAUAUUGCACAAUGGGCGCAAGCCUGAUGCAGCCAUGCCGCGUGUGUGAAGAAGGCCUUCGGGUUGUAAAGCACUUUCAGCGGGGAGGAAGGCGGUGAGGUUAAUAACCUCAUCGAUUGACGUUACCCGCAGAAGAAGCACCGGCUAACUCCGUGCCAGCAGCCGCGGUAAUACGGAGGGUGCAAGCGUUUAUCGGAAUUACUGGGCGUAAAGCGCACGCAGGCGGUCUGUCAAGUCAGAUGUGAAAUCCCCGGGCUCAACCUGGGAACUGCAUUCGAAACUGGCAGGCUAGAGUCUUGUAGAGGGGGGUAGAAUUCCAGGUGUAGCGGUGAAAUGCGUAGAGAUCUGGAGGAAUACCGGUGGCGAAGGCGGCCCCCUGGACAAAGACUGACGCUCAGGUGCGAAAGCGUGGGGAGCAAACAGGAUUAGAUACCCCUGUAGUC
Molecule: ribosomal RNA, 465 nt
Filed under: uncultured Klebsiella sp.
Lineage: Bacteria; Pseudomonadati; Pseudomonadota; Gammaproteobacteria; Enterobacterales; Enterobacteriaceae
Description: bacterial SSU rRNA
Rfam family: Bacterial small subunit ribosomal RNA
Source: RNAcentral